AAUGCGCCUGUAUCGCGCUCCCGCGCGGAUCCUAGUAGCGUCUGUAACGCCGUGCGCGGGCGAGGGUGGGAGUGCGCGCGCGAGGGGCGCGCUCUUGAAUGCAGGCGGCGCGCUCGGUGGCGCGCAUGUGCAUGUGUGCGGGCUGUCGGGCUGCCCCGAGCCCGCCGCGAGCGGGUCUGCUCCAGGUGGCGGGCGGCGGGAGCGAGGUGAGGCUGCGGG
RNAcentral lists this non-coding RNA (219 nucleotides) under Pteropus alecto (black flying fox). The record is from RNAcentral. Lineage: Eukaryota; Metazoa; Chordata; Mammalia; Chiroptera; Pteropodidae.